This 431-nucleotide ribosomal RNA is filed under the name uncultured bacterium. Its description in RNAcentral is "bacterial SSU rRNA". It matches the Rfam family "Bacterial small subunit ribosomal RNA", at positions 354 to 777 of the family's 1533-position model. The record is from RNAcentral.
GUGGGGAAUAUUGCGCAAUGGACGAAAGUCUGACGCAGCGACGCCGCGUGAGGGAUGAAGGUUUUCGGAUCGUAAACCUCUGUCAGGAGGGAAGAAAGCGCAUGGCGCCAAUCAGCCAUGCGUUGACGGUACCUCCAAAGGAAGCGCCGGCUAACUCCGUGCCAGCAGCCGCGGUAAUACGGAGGGCGCGAGCGUUAAUCGGAAUUACUGGGCGUAAAGCGCGCGUAGGCUGUUGUGUAAGUUGGGGGUGAAAUCCCACGGCUCAACCGUGGAACAGCCCUUGAUACUGCGCGACUUGAAUCCGGGAGAGGGUGGCGGAAUUCCAGGUGUAGGAGUGAAAUCCGUAGAUAUCUGGAGGAACAUCAGUGGCGAAGGCGGCCACCUGGACCGGUAUUGACGCUGAGGCGCGAAAGCGUGGGGAGCAAACAGGA